Molecule: ribosomal RNA, 2028 nt
Filed under: Triticum aestivum (bread wheat)
Lineage: Eukaryota; Viridiplantae; Streptophyta; Magnoliopsida; Poales; Poaceae
Description: partial small subunit ribosomal RNA
Source: RNAcentral
AUGGCGUCCUCCGGCCACAUGGUCGUCGGCGUUGGUGGACCUGAUGAGCAGGAGCCGGUGCCGGUGCCGUACGUGCUCUCCUUCACGGACCUAUGCUACGGCGUCAACAAGCGCCGGGGCGGGAUGGUGGGCUGCCUGCCGUCACGCGGUAGGAACCAAAUCGCCAACACCAACACCAAGGCGCUGCUCGACGGCAUCUCCGGCGAGGCGCGCGAGGGCGAGCUGUUCGCGGUGAUGGGCGCCAGCGGGGCCGGCAAGUCCACGCUCCUCGACGCCCUCGCCGGCCGGAUCACCCGGGCCAGCCUCCGCGGCGGCGUCACGCUCAACGGCGAGCCGCUCACCAACGGCCGCCUCCGCGCCAUCUCCGCCUACGUGAUGCAAGACGACCUGCUCUACCCGAUGCUGACCGUGCGCGAGACGCUGCUGUUCGCCGCCGAGUUCCGCCUCCCGCGCGCGCUCUCCGCGGCCACGAAGCGCGACCGCGUCGACGCGCUCAUCCGCCAGCUCGGCCUCUCCGGCGCCGCCGACACCGUCGUCGUCGACGAGACGCACCGCGGCGUGUCGGGCGGCGAGCGGCGCCGCGUCUCCAUCGGCGCCGACAUCAUCCACGACCCCAUCCUUCUCUUCCUCGACGAGCCCACGUCCGGCCUCGACUCCACCAGCGCCUUCAUGGUGGUCCAGGUGCUCCGAGACAUCGCUCGGAGCGGCAGCGUCGUCGUCAUGACCAUCCACCAGCCCAGCGCGCGCAUCCUCGGCAUCCUCGGCCGCCUCCUGCUCCUCUCCCGCGGCCGCGCCGUCUACGCUGGCACUCCAGCCGGCCUCAAGCCCUUCUUCUCCGAGCUCAGCACGCCCGUCCCUGACAACGAGAACCCGGCCGAGUUCGCGCUCGACACCAUCCGAGACCUCGAGCGCCAGCCCGAUGGCGCCGCGAAGCUCGCCGACUUCAAUGCCAGGUGGCACGGCGACACCAUCGGCAAGGUCAGCAGCACUGUGAUGUCGCUGGAGUUGGCCGUGGCCGAGAGCGUCUCCCGGGGUAAGCUGAGCCGGCUGAUCGAGAGCACCGCCGGCACAGUGGGGAUGCCGACGUACGCGAACCCGCUGGCGUUGGAGGUGUGGGUGCUGAGCAAGAGAUCGUUCAUCAACUUUCGGCGCAUGCCGGAGCUCUUCGCGCUGCGCCUGGGCACGCUCAUGGUGACGGGCCUCGUCCUGGCGACCAUCUUCUUCCGCCUGGACGACACGCCCAGGGGCGUCAAGGAGCGGCUCGGCUUCUUCGCCAUGGGCAUGACCACCAUGUUCUACGUCAGCGCCGGCACGCUGCCGGUGUUCAUCCAGGAGCGCCACGUGUACCUCCGCGAGACGGAGCACAACGCGUACCGCCGGAUCUCGUACGUCCUCGCCAGCUCCGCGGUGUUCUUCCCGCCGCUGGUCAUCCUGUGCCUGGCAUUCGCGGCCACCACCUUCUUCGCCGUCGGCCUGGCCGGCGGCGGCGCGUCCUUCGGCUUCUUCGUGCUCACCGUCCUGGCCUCCCUCUGGGCGGGCAGCGGCUUCGUGACGUUCCUGUCGGCGGUGGUGCCGCACGUGAUGCUGGGCUACACGGUGGUGGUGGCCGUCCUCGCCUACUUCCUCCUCCUCUCCGGCUUCUUCAUCAGCCGGGACAGGAUCCCGGGCUACUGGAUGUGGCUCCACUACAUGUCGCUCGUCAAGUACCCGUACCAGGCGCUGGUGCAGAACGAGUUCGGCGACGCCACCAGGUGCUUCGCGCGGGGGAUCCAGGUGUUCGACGGGACGCCCGUCGGCGGCUUGUCGGAGGCCGUCAAGGUGAAGGUGCUCGGCGCCAUCAGCGCCGCCCUCGGCACCAAUGUCACGGCCAGCACGUGCCUCCUCACCGGCGCCGACGUGCUCAGGCAGCAGGCCGUCACGGACCUAGGGAAGUGGAGUUGCCUCCUGGUCACGGCGGCAUUCGGCUUCUUCUUCCGUGCUCUCUUCUACGUCGUCUUGCUCGUUGGGAGCAAGAACAAACGGAGAUGA